Molecule: ribosomal RNA, 425 nt
Filed under: Melanotus similis
Lineage: Eukaryota; Metazoa; Arthropoda; Insecta; Coleoptera; Elateridae
Description: partial 16S ribosomal RNA
Source: RNAcentral
UGAUUUAAAAUUGCCGCGGUAUUUUGACCGUGCAAAGGUAGCAUAAUAAUUAGUUUUUUUAUUGAAAGCUGGAAUGAAUGGUUGGACGAGAGAACUGCUGUCUCUAUUUAAUUUUAUUUUUAAUUUAACUUUUAAGUUAAAAGGCUUAAAUUUUUUUUAAAGACGAGAAGACCCUAUAGAGUUUCACAUUUCUUAUUUUAUUUUCUUUUUGGUAUUUAAUGGUUUUUAAUUUUUGAUUUGUUUGGUUGGGGUGACCAGAAGAUUUAAUAAACUCUUCUAUUAAAAUCAAUGAUUUUUGAAUUGAUAAUCUAGUUUUUCUAAAUUUAAGAUAAAUUACCUUAGGGAUAACAGCGUAAUUUCUUUUUAGAGUUCUUAUUGAAAGAGAAGUUUGNGACCUCNNAUGUUGAUUUAAAUUGCCGCGGUAU